Molecule: ribosomal RNA, 255 nt
Filed under: uncultured bacterium
Lineage: Bacteria
Description: partial 16S ribosomal RNA
Rfam family: Bacterial small subunit ribosomal RNA
Source: RNAcentral
UACGUAGGGUGCGAGCGUUGUCCGGAAUUAUUGGGCGUAAAGAGCUCGUAGGCGGUGUGUCGCGUCGGCCGUGAAAACCUGCAGCUUAACUGUGGGCUUGCGGUCGAUACGGGCAUCACUGGAGUUCGGCAGGGGAGACUGGAAUUCCUGGUGUAGCGGUGAAAUGCGCAGAUAUCAGGAGGAACACCGGUGGCGAAGGCGGGUCUCUGGGCCGAUGACUGACGCUGAGGCACGAAAGCGUGGGGAGCAAACAGG